RNAcentral lists this ribosomal RNA (407 nucleotides) under uncultured bacterium. RNAcentral describes it as "partial 16S ribosomal RNA". It matches the Rfam family "Bacterial small subunit ribosomal RNA", at positions 28 to 526 of the family's 1533-position model. The record is from RNAcentral.
GACGAACGCUGGCGGCGUGCCUAAUACAUGCAAGUAGGACGCAGUUGCGAACGGGGGAGUAACGCGUAGGUAACUACCUAUUAGAGGGGGAUAACUAUUGGAAACGAUAGCUAAUACCGCAUACUAGUAGAUGGACCUGCGUUGUAUUAGCUAGUAGGUAGGGUAAUGGCCUACCUAGGCAACGGUACAUAGCCGACCUGAGAGGGGGAUCCGCCAAACUGGGGCUGAAGAAAGGCCCAGAAUCCUACGGGAGGAAACAGUAGGGAAUCUUCGGCAAUGGGGGGAACCCUGACCGAGCAAAGCCGCGUGAGUGAAGAAGGUUUUCGGGUCGUAAAGCUCUGUUGUUAAGGAAGCGGUACUUAACCAGAAAGGGACGGCUAACUACGUGCCAGCAGCCGCGGUAAUAC